GCAGUCGAACGGUGGUAGUGAUACCAUAGUGGCGCACGGGUGCGUAACACGUAUGCAACCUACCUUAUACUUAGGGAUAGCCUUUGGAAACGGAGAUUAAUACCUAAUGGUAUAUUUAGCUGGCAUCGGUUAGAUAUUAAAGAUUUAUUGGUAUAAGAUGGGCAUGCGUCCAAUUAGUUAGUUGGUGAGGUAAUGGCUCACCAAGACGAUGAUUGGUAGGGGAACUGAGAGGUUAAUCCCCACACUGGCACUGAGAUACGGGCCAGACUCCUACGGGGGGCAGCAGUAGGGAAUAUUGGGCAAUGGAGGGAACUCUGACCCAGCCAUGCCGCGUGCAGGAUGAAGGCGUUAUGCGUUGUAAACUGCUUUUAUAUAGGAAGAAACAGACCUUGCGAGGUAGAUUGACGGUACUAUAUGAAUAAGCACCGGCUAACUCCGUGCCAGCAGCCGCGGUAAUACGGAGGGUGCAAGCGUUGUCCGGAUUUAUUGGGUUUAAAGGGUGCGUAGGCGGUUUAUUAAGUCAGUGGUGAAAGACGGUCGCUCAACGAUUGCAGUGCCAUUGAUACUGGUAGACUUGAGUGUGAUUGAG
RNAcentral lists this ribosomal RNA (589 nucleotides) under uncultured bacterium. RNAcentral describes it as "bacterial SSU rRNA". It matches the Rfam family "Bacterial small subunit ribosomal RNA", at positions 57 to 656 of the family's 1533-position model. The record is from RNAcentral.